AAAGGUGUGGCUGCUAUCUUGUGCCCUUGAGCGGAUGGGGGAAGAGAUAGGCAAGGUAGAAAGGGUAAUUUACAAAACUAGCUGAUCGGGUGAUGACGAGACGAGCUGACGUGGCUAGCCAUGUCGGAUUAAGGAUGAAUUUAAGCCGAUUGAGAAAGUUUGAGGACUAGAAUGGCCAUUGUGGUAGUUCAUGAAUAAAAUUAAUCCCCGAGUGAUAGUUUAGGGACGAAAAUAGCUAGCUAUUCCGCCAAAUGAAAAAGUCUCAAAAGCUGGUCUGCUGAUCGAAAGUCCGUCUCUUUAAAUUGCCCAUCUCUUUCCCAAAUCGUUGCGGCAACAAGCACCCACACGCAGCCAUGAUGACAUGCCAGUGCAAGUGCUUAGGCUCUCAUUCAGGUCGUCCACAGACCACUUUCCCCUCUG
Molecule: long non-coding RNA, 420 nt
Filed under: Setaria viridis
Lineage: Eukaryota; Viridiplantae; Streptophyta; Magnoliopsida; Poales; Poaceae
Description: long non-coding RNA (SVIR_LNC004677)
Source: RNAcentral